GAUGAACGCUGGCGGCGUGCCUAAUACAUGCAAGUCGAGCGAACGGACGAGAAGCUUGCUUUUCUGAUGUUAGCGGCGGACGGGUGAGUAACACGUGGAUAACCUACCUAUAAGACUGGGAUAACUUCGGGAAACCGGAGCUAAUACCGGAUAAUAUUUUGAACCGCAUGGUUCAAAAGUGAAAGAAGGUCUUGCUGUCACUUAUAGAUGGAUCCGCGCUGCAUUAGCUAGUUGGUAAGGUAACGGCUUACCAAGGCAACGAUGCAUAGCCGACCUGAGAGGGUGAUCGGCCACACUGGAACUGAGACACGGUCCAGACUCCUACGGGAGGCAGCAGUAGGGAAUCUUCCGCAAUGGGCGAAAGCCUGACGGAGCAACGCCGCGUGAGUGAUGAAGGUCUUCGGAUCGUAAAACUCUGUUAUUAGGGAAGAACAUAUGUGUAAGUAACUGUGCACAUCUUGACGGUACCUAAUCAGAAAGCCACGGCUAACUACGUG
Molecule: ribosomal RNA, 497 nt
Filed under: uncultured bacterium
Lineage: Bacteria
Description: partial 16S ribosomal RNA
Rfam family: Bacterial small subunit ribosomal RNA
Source: RNAcentral